CCCGUAUGGGUGAAAUGCCGGAGGGGACAUUACCGAGAUUACAACUCCCAAACCCCUGUGAACAUACCAAUUGUCUGCCUCGGCGGAUCAGCCCGCUCCCGGUAAAACGGGACGGCCCGCCAGAGGACCCCUAAACUCUGUUUCUAUAUGUAACUUCUGAGUAAAACCAUAAAUAAAUCAAAACUUUCAACAACGGAUCUCUUGGUUCUGGCAUCGAUGAAGAACGCAGCAAAAUGCAAUAAGUAAUGUGAAUUGCAGAAUUCAGUGAAUCAUCCAGUCUUUGAACGCACAUUGCGCCCGCCAGUAUUCUGGCGGGCAUGCCUGUUCGAGCGUCAUUUCAACCCUCAAGCCCCCGGGUUUGGUGUUGGGGAUCGGCGAGCCCUUGCGGCAAGCCGGCCCCGAAAUCUAGUGGCGGUCUCGCUGCAGCUUCCAUUGCGUAGUAGUAAAACCCUCGCACUGGUACGCGGCGCGGCCAAGCCGUUAACCCCCACUUCUGAAUGUUGACCUCGGAUCUGUAGGAAUACCCGCUGAACUUAAGCAUAUCAUAAGCGGAGGAAACCCCACGCGGAGG
RNAcentral lists this ribosomal RNA (571 nucleotides) under Oryza sativa (Asian cultivated rice). RNAcentral describes it as "eukaryotic LSU rRNA". The stretch from base 182 to 335 matches the Rfam family "5.8S ribosomal RNA". Lineage: Eukaryota; Viridiplantae; Streptophyta; Magnoliopsida; Poales; Poaceae. The record is from RNAcentral.